CAGCCGCCGCGGUAAUACGGAGGGUCCGAGCGUUAAUCGGAAUUACUGGGCGUAAAGAGUACGUAGGCGGCUUUUCAAGUCGGAUGUGAAAGCCCUGAGCUUAACUCAGGAACUGCAUUCGAUACUGGAUCGCUAGAGUAUAUUAGAGGAUAGUGGAAUUUCAAGUGUAGCGGUGAAAUGCGUAGAUAUUUGAAGGAACACCAAUGGCGAAGGCAGCUCUCUGGCUCGUCACUGACGCUGAGGUGCGAAAGCGUGGGUAGCAAACAGGAUUAGAUA
RNAcentral lists this ribosomal RNA (276 nucleotides) under uncultured bacterium. Its description in RNAcentral is "partial 16S ribosomal RNA". It matches the Rfam family "Bacterial small subunit ribosomal RNA", at positions 509 to 784 of the family's 1533-position model. The record is from RNAcentral.